This 244-nucleotide unclassified non-coding RNA is filed under the name Hevea brasiliensis (rubber tree). Lineage: Eukaryota; Viridiplantae; Streptophyta; Magnoliopsida; Malpighiales; Euphorbiaceae. The record is from RNAcentral.
GUUACAAGAUGAACAGCUCCUGUGCAGACAUUCUCCUCUUUGCUGCUCACAGGUGGCCUAUGUCAAAGCCUAGUCUUGUGGCUGAGUCAAAAGAUGUAUUUGAUCAGAAAGCCAGCAAUAAAUACNAUUGAUGUACAGCUUAGAUGGGGUGAUUAUGACUCUCAUGAUAUUGAGCGUUAUACCCGGGCCAAAUUUAUGGAUUACACGACGGAUAACAUGUCUAUAUAUCCAUCUCCAACUGGGG